GUCUAUGGCCAUGCCACCCUGAACAGCUUGAUCUUGUCUGAUAUCAGAAGCUAAGCAGGGUCAGUCCUGGUUAGUACUUGGAUGAAAGACCACCUAGGAAGACCAGGUGCUGUAGGCG
This 118-nucleotide ribosomal RNA is filed under the name Pteropus alecto (black flying fox). The record is from RNAcentral. Lineage: Eukaryota; Metazoa; Chordata; Mammalia; Chiroptera; Pteropodidae.